CAAGUCGAGCGCCCCGCAAGGGGAGCGGCAGACGGGUGAGUAACGCGUGGGAAUCUACCCAUCUCUACGGAACAACUCCGGGAAACUGGAGCUAAUACCGUAUACGUCCUUCGGGAGAAAGAUUUAUCGGGNAUGGAUGAGCCCGCGUUGGAUUAGCUAGUUGGUGGGGUAAUGGCCUACCAAGGCGACGAUCCAUAGCUGGUCUGAGAGGAUGAUCAGCCACAUUGGGACUGAGACACGGCCCAAACUCCUACGG
This 256-nucleotide ribosomal RNA is filed under the name Rhizobium sp. USDA 3620. Its description in RNAcentral is "partial 16S ribosomal RNA". It matches the Rfam family "Bacterial small subunit ribosomal RNA", at positions 58 to 344 of the family's 1533-position model. Lineage: Bacteria; Pseudomonadati; Pseudomonadota; Alphaproteobacteria; Hyphomicrobiales; Rhizobiaceae. The record is from RNAcentral.